RNAcentral lists this ribosomal RNA (443 nucleotides) under uncultured bacterium. Its description in RNAcentral is "partial 16S ribosomal RNA". It matches the Rfam family "Bacterial small subunit ribosomal RNA", at positions 338 to 795 of the family's 1533-position model. The record is from RNAcentral.
CCUACGGGAGGCAGCAGUGGGGAAUAUUGGGCAAUGGAGGAAACUCUGACCCAGCAACGCCGCGUGAAUGAUGAAGGUCUUCGGAUUGUAAAGUUCUUUUCUAAGGGAAGAAGAAAGUGACGGUACCUUAGGAAUAAGCCUCGGCUAAGUACGUGCCAGCAGCCGCGGUAAUACGUAGGAGGCGAGCGUUAUCCGGAUUGACUGGGCGUAAAGGGUGCGUAGGUGGUUUGGCAAGUUAGUAGCGUAACUCCAAGGCUCAACCUUGGAACUACUACUAAAACUGGUGGACUUGAGUGCAGGAGGGGCAGGCGGAAUUCCUAGUGUAGCGGUGGAAUGCGUAGAUAUUAGGAGGAACACCAGUGGCGAAGGCGGGUUGCUGGACUGUAACUGACGCUGAGGCACGAAAGCGUGGGGAGCAAACAGGAUUAGAUACCCGGGUAGUC